Clupea harengus (Atlantic herring) is the source of this 174-nucleotide long non-coding RNA. RefSeq lists it as uncharacterized. NCBI's taxonomy places the organism in Eukaryota, Metazoa, Chordata, Actinopteri, Clupeiformes, Clupeidae. The record is from RefSeq and is a predicted model, not a curated record.
CUUCAACUCCUCUGAGGACUUCAAAACAUCUCAACAUUUCAGUAGCACAAUCAGCAUCAUUCCCCUCAUCAUCGCCAUGGCUGAAUGGACAGAGUGCAUGAAUUUUGGCAUUACUAUUGCCAGGCAAGCCAGCAAGGUCAUUCUGGAGGCAUUUAGAGCAAAAAAAGAUGUGAG